Molecule: non-coding RNA, 71 nt
Organism: Merluccius polli (Benguela hake)
Lineage: Eukaryota; Metazoa; Chordata; Actinopteri; Gadiformes; Merlucciidae
Source: the annotation of a GenBank genome assembly
CCCUAUCUAGCUCAACUGGUAGAGCAUGGCAUGAACACUGCUAGGGUUAGGGGUUCGAAUCCCUGUCUAGC